Molecule: ribosomal RNA, 253 nt
Filed under: uncultured bacterium
Lineage: Bacteria
Description: partial 16S ribosomal RNA
Rfam family: Bacterial small subunit ribosomal RNA
Source: RNAcentral
GACAGAGGGUGCAAACGUUGUUCGGAAUUACUGGGCGUAAAGCGCGUGUAGGCGGCUGCGCAAGUCGGAUGUGAAAUCCCAUGGCUCAACCAUGGAAGUGCACCCGAAACUGCGUAGCUAGAGUCUCGGAGAGGAAGGCGGAAUGCUUGGUGUAGAGGUGAAAUUCGUAGAUAUCAAGCGGAACACCGGUGGCGAAGGCGGCCUUCUGGACGAUGACUGACGCUGAGACGCAAAAGCGUGGGGAGCAAACAGG